UCCCUUGUAGCUCAGUCGGUAAAGAAUCUGCCUGCAGUGCAGAAGACCCGGGUUCGAUCCCUGGGUUCGGAA
This 72-nucleotide transfer RNA is filed under the name Bos taurus (domestic cattle). It matches the Rfam family "tRNA". Rfam says of the family: Transfer RNA (tRNA) molecules are approximately 80 nucleotides in length. Their secondary structure includes four short double-helical elements and three loops (D, anti-codon, and T loops). Further hydrogen bonds mediate the characteristic L-shaped molecular structure. tRNAs have two regions of fundamental functional importance: the anti-codon, which is responsible for specific mRNA codon recognition, and the 3' end, to which the tRNAs corresponding amino acid is attached (by aminoacyl-tRNA synthetases). tRNAs cope with the degeneracy of the genetic code in two manners: having more than one tRNA (with a specific anti-codon) for a particular amino acid; and 'wobble' base-pairing, i.e. permitting non-standard base-pairing at the 3rd anti-codon position. The record is from Rfam by way of RNAcentral. Lineage: Eukaryota; Metazoa; Chordata; Mammalia; Artiodactyla; Bovidae.